UACAGAGGUGGCAAGCGUUGUUCGGAAUUACUGGGCGUAAAGGGCGCGUAGGCGGCCACCGCAAGUCGGUUGUGAAAUCUCUGGGCUUAACCCAGAAAGGUCAACCGAUACUGCGGGGCUAGAGUGCAGAAGGGGCAACUGGAAUUCUCGGUGUAGCGGUGAAAUGCGUAGAUAUCGAGAGGAACACCUGCGGCGAAGGCGGGUUGCUGGGCUGACACUGACGCUGAAGCGCGAAAGCUAGGGGAGCGAACGGG
Molecule: ribosomal RNA, 254 nt
Filed under: uncultured bacterium
Lineage: Bacteria
Description: partial 16S ribosomal RNA
Rfam family: Bacterial small subunit ribosomal RNA
Source: RNAcentral